GGGGGGGCAUUUAUGCGGGCACCGCGAUAGGGGACCUCGAGUGCCGACAUCUAAUGUCGGCUGUCGUGAUGCCUAAAAAGCAUUAUAUAGCAAGGGCCGGGCAAGACCGGUGCCAGCCGCCGCGGUAACACCGGCGGCUCGAGUGGUGACCGCUAUUAUUGGGUUUAAAGGGUCUGUAGCCGGCCGGAUGAGUCUCUUGAGAAAUCUGGCCGCUUAACGGUCAGGCUUUCAGGAGAUACUGUCUGGCUCGAGGCCGGGAGAGGUGAGAGGUACUUCAGGGGUAGGGGUGAAAUCUUGUAAUCC
Molecule: ribosomal RNA, 303 nt
Filed under: uncultured archaeon
Lineage: Archaea
Description: bacterial SSU rRNA
Rfam family: Archaeal small subunit ribosomal RNA
Source: RNAcentral